This 369-nucleotide ribosomal RNA is filed under the name Epinephelus areolatus (areolate grouper). RNAcentral describes it as "partial small subunit ribosomal RNA". The record is from RNAcentral. Lineage: Eukaryota; Metazoa; Chordata; Actinopteri; Perciformes; Serranidae.
ACAAAGGCUUGGUCCUGACUUUCCUGUCAGCUUUAACCAAAUUUACACAUGCGAGUAUCCGCACCCCUGUGAGAAUGCCCUGCAGUCCCCCGCCCGGGGACAAGGAGCAGGUAUCAGGCACAUGACUACAUAGCCCACAACACCUUGCUUAGCCACACCCUCAAGGGAAUCCAGCAGUGAUAAACAUUAAGCCAUGAGUGUAAACUUGACUUAGUUAUGGUUAAAAGGGCCGGUAAAACUCGUGCCAGCUACCGCGGUUAUACGAGAGACCCAAGUUGAUAGGCUCCGGCGUAAAGCGUGGUUAAGGAAUGAUAAAUACUAAAGCCGAACGCUUACUAGGCUGUUAUACGCUUUACGAAAGUAAGAAGU